Molecule: transfer RNA, 76 nt
Filed under: Rickettsiales bacterium
Lineage: Bacteria; Pseudomonadati; Pseudomonadota; Alphaproteobacteria; Rickettsiales
Description: tRNA-Lys
Rfam family: tRNA
About the family: Transfer RNA (tRNA) molecules are approximately 80 nucleotides in length. Their secondary structure includes four short double-helical elements and three loops (D, anti-codon, and T loops).
Source: RNAcentral
GGGUGCUUAGCUCAGUUGGUAGAGCAAAUGACUCUUAAUCAUUUGGUCGUGGGUUCGAAUCCCCCAGCACCCACCA